Long non-coding RNA from Columba livia (rock pigeon), 1876 nucleotides. RefSeq lists it as uncharacterized. NCBI's taxonomy places the organism in Eukaryota, Metazoa, Chordata, Aves, Columbiformes, Columbidae. The record is from RefSeq and is a predicted model, not a curated record. The transcript is spliced from 3 exons.
GGAGGAGAUAAAUGAAGUUAAGAUGCCCAGGACGGAGGCAGAAACCGCGGCGUGGAGAUAGAGCUGUCUCCUUCACAGACGAGCAGCCCACAAUCCCGGCUCCCUGUUUUAUUGCAGAAGCUUAUUAAAGGCAUUUUAGAGAUCAUCAUAGGAGGCUUAGGAGCGUGAGAGAAGCGGGACCAUGGCUGGAGUCUGCGCAUUUUCUCAGGAUUUCGAGGGAGGGAGCCAGCAGAUAACCGCUCUCUUACAGUCCUCCUAGUGAUUUUGCAUUUAUCCAGCGGUCACCAUCUGUUUCUGAAGACCCCAGAAUUUGUGUCCCUGCACAACUGAGCUAAUUGCUGGCAUUUCCUGUUGCAAAACUGUGUUUAAGAGGAGACGGAGAAAUGACCCCAAGCAAGUUCCCCGCUGGUGAGUGCAGUUGACUGUUUCUGCAUCACUUGAAUCAUUUCAGUUUGUCCAACGACGUGUUGCAGCGGUAGCAUUUCUAUUGGAACAUGUUGAUAUGUUUUAAUGCAAUCAAUAGUCAGAACCUCCUGUGGAUGAAAUUAAUAAGCCCAGAACACAAUGCACAUAUGGUAAUUAUUAAGUCUGGAAGUGGUUACUGCAUUAAUUGAUGGCAGUAGCAAGUCAUGCACCCGCUCUUAAUUUCAUCGUUUCUUAUAUGGAGAUCCUGUAAACAGAAUUUUUGCAUUCUAUUAUAUCAGACCUCUCUCUCCUUUUUCUUAAGAAUGGGUCACUGUGAAACUAUUUAUAGCUCCCUUAGCUCAUUUAGCUUCAUUACAAUUUUGGAUCUUUUGUCCAUAAACAAAAAGUUGCUGAAAAUAGCUCGUCUGCAACCAUGAAAGUCACAUCUACAUGUCUCUGGGAUUCAGUUGGUGCUACGAGGGACUCCGGUUGCAGCCCAUGUCCUUCAAAGUUAAGCCAUCGCAGAGGAACAUAAGUAGAUGACUUGGCCUCAUUGCUGACAUAAAAAUCAGAUGCUUUCAUAGCUGUGUCUACAGCUGAAGUUAAAUUAAAAGUAUUACAAAUAUGGCAUUCCUUGAUUUAAAAAAAUGUAUUUCAGUAAUAUUAAUAUCAUUCUCCUUAAAAUUUUUAAGUAGCGUAGCGUGUACCCUACUGAGAAUCUCAGAAUAUUGGUCCUUUCCAUUCUGAACUAGGGAAGGCAGAAGGUUGUGAAGGGCUGUGGACACUUAGAGAUCACUCAUGUCUAUCGGUGAGAUACCCUUGAUGGCCAACGUGGCACUAACGCUCAAAUCCACACAUGCUUUAUAUCUUGAAAAAUCAGUGAACCUCUCGUGAUCCCAAAAAGACCAUGACUGUCACCAGGGGAAACUCCAAAUAGUUUAAUCCAGUUUCUUUCUUCAACCCCUGCAUAAGAUUUUCAUUCUCUUUAAUACCUACCAGAUAAAUGACUGGCUGAAAACAGGCUAAUUCGGAGUGAUAAUAAUAAUAGUAAUAAUAAUAGAAUUGUAUAUAUGUAAAUAUAGUGUAGGAAGACCUUAAAUGUAGAGUUUUCAGAAGCACUGGUGAGGCUCUUCUUGGCUUCAGGAUCAUGGUGGCAGUUGUGGUUUUGAAAUCCAAUAUUUUACAUCUUUUUAUUAUCUCCUACUGUGGGAAACUGCAGGGGGUCUGUGGAAUCCUUGACAGAAAAUAUGAGACUAGAGAUCAGCCUUGAGAUAUUAAGAUUUACCCUUGAGAAGGAUGGGAGUAAAGGAGUAUCCGGAGAGAGGAGAGAUGUACCCGUGAGAGAGAAGGGGAUAGAAGAAUAACAUGGAUGAUAGAAAAAUUAACCAAUGAGAUGUUAGUGCUGUAACUUGUAACCAAUAGUGAAAAGACACAUGAACUGGUAGAAUUGUAUAAAAAUGCACUUGUAGCA